This 428-nucleotide ribosomal RNA is filed under the name uncultured archaeon. RNAcentral describes it as "bacterial SSU rRNA". It matches the Rfam family "Archaeal small subunit ribosomal RNA", at positions 474 to 903 of the family's 1478-position model. The record is from RNAcentral.
UACCAGCUCUCCGAGUGGUGUGGAUGUUUAUUGGGCCUAAAGCAUCCGUAGUUGGCUGGACAAGUCCCCUGUUAAAUCCACCGAUUUAAUCGUUGGUGUGCGGGGGAUACUGCUCGGCUAGGGGACGGGAGAGGCAGACGGUAUUUUCGGGGUAGGGGUGAAAUCCUAUAAUCCCGGGAAGACCACCAGUGGCGAAGGCUGUCUGCUAGAACGCGCCCGACAGUGAGGGAUGAAAGCUGGGGGAGCGAACCGGAUUAGAUACCCGGGUAGUCCCAGCUGUAAACGAUGCAGGCUAGGUGCUUGGACGGCCACGUGCCGUUCUAGUGCCGCAGGGAAGCCGUUAAGCCUGCCGCCUGGGGAGUACGGCCGCAAGGCUGAAACUUAAAGGAAUUGGCGGGGAGCACCACAAGGGGUGAAGCUUGCGGUUU